RNAcentral lists this ribosomal RNA (427 nucleotides) under uncultured bacterium. RNAcentral's name for it is "bacterial SSU rRNA". It matches the Rfam family "Bacterial small subunit ribosomal RNA", at positions 356 to 795 of the family's 1533-position model. The record is from RNAcentral.
GGGGAAUUUUCCGCAAUGGGCGCAAGCCUGACGGAGCAAUACCGCGUGAGGGAAGAAUGCCUAUGGGUUGUAAACCUCUUUUUUCAGGGAGGAAUCAAAUGACGUGUACCUGAAGAAUAAGCAUCGGCUAACUCCGUGCCAGCAGCCGCGGUAAGACGGAGGAUGCAAGUGUUAUCCGGAAUCACUGGGCGUAAAGCGUCUGUAGGUGGUCCAAUAAGUCAACUGUUAAAUCUUGAGGCUCAACCUCAAAAUCGCAGUCGAAACUAUUAGACUAGAGUAUAGUAGGGGUAAAGGGAAUUUCCAGUGGAGCGGUGAAAUGCGUAGAUAUUGGAAAGAACACCGAUGGCGAGGGCACUCUACUGGGCCAUUACUGACACUGAGAGACGAAAGCUAGGGGAGCAAAAGGGAUUAGAUACCCCCUGUAGUC